CUCCACCCGCCCGCCCUCACCAACCACCACCAUCAUCCUACUUCUCCUCCUCCAUAGCUACUACCCAUGGCAGGAGUUGUAAUUAUAAAGAAGUAGAGACCCAAAUCCACAAACCCAGCAGACCCUCUUCUCUCUCUCAAACCCUAACCAUAGUAAUCCAUGGCUUCUUCUUCUUCCUCCUCUGCAAUCUCUGCAUCUCUCAGCUUCUCUUCCAAGCCUUCCUCCUCCUUCUUCAUUCGCAGCUCCAAUCUCCAUUUCUCCUCCUUCAAAUCCUCUGAUUCGUUCCUCUCUCUCAAGAACCGGAUCUGGACCCGUUCUGUCUCGAAAUCCGACCGGAAUCGGUUGAAAAUCUCGGCGAAUUCCGCUCAGAUAAUGGAUCAGGAACAGAAGCAGCAAAAGAGCACGAUCUCGAGGGUGUCGACGAUCGUGGACGUUGAUCUCGGGAACCGCAGCUACCCGAUUUACAUUGGAUCCGGUCUGCUCCAAGAACCUGGUCUUCUUCAGAGGCAUGUUCACGGGAAGAAAGUUCUUGUGGUGACGAAUACCACAGUUGCACCACUAUACCUUGAUAAAGUCAUCAAUGCUCUAACUCAUGGAAACUCUAGCAUUUCUGUUGAAGCUGUGAUUUUACCAGAUGGCGAGAAGUAUAAGGAGAUGGGUACUCUAAUGAAGGUCUUUGACAAGGCAAUUGAGUCUCGGUUGGAUCGUCGCUGUACAUUUAUUGCCCUUGGAGGCGGCGUUAUUGGUGAUAUGUGUGGCUUUGCUGCAGCUGCAUUUCUUCGUGGUGUCAAUUUCAUUCAGAUCCCCACAACUCUCAUGGCCCAGGUGGAUUCUUCUGUUGGAGGAAAAACGGGGAUAAACCACCCUCUAGGGAAAAACUUGAUUGGCGCUUUCUACCAACCCCAAAGCGUACUGAUAGACACAGACACGUUAAAUACAUUGCCUGAGAGGGAACUAGCUUCAGGAAUUUCUGAAGUUGUUAAGUAUGGGCUUAUCAGGGAUGCUGAGUUUUUUGAGUGGCAAGAGAAGAAUAUGGAUGCACUAUUAGCAAGGGACCCAAGCGCAUUGGCGUAUGCUAUCAAGCGGUCUUGUGAAAACAAAGCUGAAGUUGUCUCCUUGGAUGAGAGGGAAGGUGGAGUGAGGGCAACAUUGAACUUGGGUCAUACUUUUGGCCAUGCUAUAGAAACUGGUUCUGGAUAUGGUCAGUGGCUCCAUGGAGAAGCGGUUGCAGCUGGCAUGGUCAUGGCCGUUGACAUGUCAUACCGCCUUGGCUGGAUUGAUGAGUCAAUUGUAAAGCGGGUCUUUAGUAUUUUACAGCAUGCAAAGCUCCCAACUACCCCACCCGACAUCAUGACUGUGGAGAAGUUCAAGGCAAUCAUGGCGGUUGACAAAAAGGUAGCCGAUGGACUUUUGAGGCUUAUCCUUCUGAAAGGGUCCCUUGGCAAUUGUGUUUUCACUGGAGAUUAUGAUUGGAAGGCCCUUGAUGAAACCCUUCAUGCCUUCUGCAAGAGUUGAUUGGUCCUGGCAUGAUGUGCAUUAGUUUCUACCUGUUUUUCCGUAUGGCAGGGUAGCAAUGUAAGAGAGCGUGGAUGAGUAUGCAUUGGAGUGCAUAUGAACUUUGAAUAACUCCAUUGCACUGGUUUUCAGUGAAGCCUGAUAUUUCCAAUCUCCUGGCCUCCAUCCUUCACCUGUUUGUGAGUGUGCCAAUCUCGAGGCUUUGACGAGGAGAAAAGUAUGUGCCAGAUUAAAGGACCUGAUGUAGUGGUACAGGUUUGGAGUUAUCCCUUUUCAUUUUGCUGUUGCUGGCAAUGGAUUGUCAUCGAGGAAAAAAAGAAAAGAAAAGAAAGAUAAUUGGUCAGAUGCUGAAUCGGAAAAUGUCCACUUUUUGUAUGCCUAAUGCCUAGGAAUGCACAAUGAGUAUGAUCUCUAGUGAUGGUCCAUUGAUGA
Magnolia sinica is the source of this 1947-nucleotide RNA transcript. It is a transcript of the gene named 3-dehydroquinate synthase, chloroplastic, with no coding region annotated. The record is from RefSeq and is a predicted model, not a curated record. NCBI's taxonomy places the organism in Eukaryota, Viridiplantae, Streptophyta, Magnoliopsida, Magnoliales, Magnoliaceae. The transcript is spliced from 9 exons.